This 469-nucleotide ribosomal RNA is filed under the name Vibrio cholerae RC9. RNAcentral describes it as "bacterial SSU rRNA". It matches the Rfam family "Bacterial small subunit ribosomal RNA", at positions 8 to 473 of the family's 1533-position model. Lineage: Bacteria; Pseudomonadati; Pseudomonadota; Gammaproteobacteria; Vibrionales; Vibrionaceae. The record is from RNAcentral.
AGAGUUUGAUCAUGGCUCAGAUUGAACGCUGGCGGCAGGCCUAACACAUGCAAGUCGAGCGGCAGCACAGAGGAACUUGUUCCUUGGGUGGCGAGCGGCGGACGGGUGAGUAAUGCCUGGGAAAUUGCCCGGUAGAGGGGGAUAACCAUUGGAAACGAUGGCUAAUACCGCAUAACCUCGCAAGAGCAAAGCAGGGGACCUUCGGGCCUUGCGCUACCGGAUAUGCCCAGGUGGGAUUAGCUAGUUGGUGAGGUAAGGGCUCACCAAGGCGACGAUCCCUAGCUGGUCUGAGAGGAUGAUCAGCCACACUGGAACUGAGACACGGUCCAGACUCCUACGGGAGGCAGCAGUGGGGAAUAUUGCACAAUGGGCGCAAGCCUGAUGCAGCCAUGCCGCGUGUAUGAAGAAGGCCUUCGGGUUGUAAAGUACUUUCAGUAGGGAGGAAGGUGGUUAAGUUAAUACCUUAAUC